AUUGAACGCUGGCGGAAUGCUUUACACAUGCAAGUCGAACGGCAGCACGGGGCAACCUGGUGGCGAGUGGCGAACGGGUGAGUAAUACAUCGGAACGUGCCCAAUCGUGGGGGAUAACGUAGCGAAAGUUACGCUAAUACCGCAUACGAUCUACGGAUGAAAGCGGGGGAUCGCAAGACCUCGCGCGAAUGGAGCGGCCGAUGUCAGAUUAGGUAGUUGGUGGGGUAAAGGCUCACCAAGCCGACGAUCUGUAGCUGGUCUGAGAGGACGACCAGCCACACUGGGACUGAGACACGGCCCAUACACCUACGGGAGGCAGCAGUGGGGAAUUUUGGACAAUGGGCGAAAGCCUGAUCCAGCCAUGCCGCGUGAGUGAAGAAGGCCU
RNAcentral lists this ribosomal RNA (385 nucleotides) under uncultured bacterium. RNAcentral's name for it is "bacterial SSU rRNA". It matches the Rfam family "Bacterial small subunit ribosomal RNA", at positions 29 to 417 of the family's 1533-position model. The record is from RNAcentral.